GACUAGCGAUCGCCAGGACAGAAGCGGGGGACCCACCUUUCCGCCGGACGUCGCCACCACGGUGGCCGUCCUUGGGGUGAAGUCGGCCGCGUGUAUCCGCGCGUCGACCGGGCUUCCCGGCCCGAACCCGACAGCUAACCUCGCAGGCGUAUGGGAAGGAUCA
RNAcentral lists this small RNA (163 nucleotides) under unidentified. RNAcentral describes it as "Frankia symbiont c-di-AMP sequence". It matches the Rfam family "c-di-AMP riboswitch aptamer (ydaO/yuaA leader)". Rfam says of the family: This family represents a conserved RNA structure found upstream of the ydaO and yuaA genes in Bacillus subtilis and related genes in other bacteria. The ydaO/yuaA element is thought to act as a genetic "off" switch for the ydaO and yuaA genes in its native state. The record is from RNAcentral.